GCAAGUUUCUCCAAGCCAUAGGCAUCUUGAGGCUAAAAGGUAUGCAUCAUUAGUUAGCAUUUUUUUUACCAUAGUAGCUAAAGUAACUGAUAAUUAACACAGAAGCAUGAAUCAAUCUGGAUGGUUAAAAACCUCUGCAGGCCAGGCAUCUGACUCCUUCAAGCUAACUACAGUCUCCAACUGCUUAAAUUCAGGGUAGAUACAGGCGCUUGAUGCAUAAAAGAACCUGCAAGGGAAAAUAUACAGAAAUUACAACACUUUGUUUUAAUACAAAAGCACUAAAUGAAAUUCCGUGCCAUUUUUCAACAACACUCUUGUUUAAUUAUGCAAAGGUUUGAUGCUUAUUUUUAGGUCUCCCAAAUUUGAUGCUUGCCCUGUAUGGUUACAAGGGAGAACAAAUAUGAGAUCCUGUUUGGAAGUUCUUAUUACUAGAUAGGUGGAGAAAAAGGUCAACUAUAGCACAUAAAAGAGGGCACACAUAUGCACUAGCAUCAUCAGCUCAAUGCUCAUCGUAAAGGCCCGCCAAUGCAUGUCAAUCUAGCUAAAAAAAGGCUAUGUGCGGCAUAUGCCCUGCAUAAUAACUGUACUAUAGUACUUUCCUGUAGUGUUGUUUAGUGUCAUCCACUAAACCUAGCUGAAACCACACCAGUUAAGACUUGCCCUAUGUGGGCUUGUGGGCCGAUUUGAACCCUUUGCAUUGUAUCCGCAUAAAUGAUUCUGCUUUGAGAUGCCGGUGCAGAUGCACGCAUAGCAACUGCAAUAAAUUUCCACAGUAUGGUAGUUAAUGUAGAGCAUUUGUUCCUCAAAUCUAGGAAUCUAGCAACUGCACUUGAAGGUUAUCUCAUUUAACUAAUUUAGUGUCUGCAUACCUUAACAGUUAAAAUCCAGCUUCACAAGGGUGAUUAAAACAUGAUAAACAAAGAGCCACCAGCAGGCAGGUAGUUACCUCUUGACGCCAUUGAUUCUAGCAGCCUCGAGCAUGUUAAAGCUGAUCAUAGUGUUGUUAUACAUGAUGACAGAGUGGUUGGACUGGAUGAACCCCAUCCCUCCCAUAUCAGCAGCAAGGUUAAACACAUGGUCAACCCCCGUGGUCACCUUGAGGCAGUUGUCCAUGACCCUCAGGUCAAUGAGGUGGAACUCAUGGCAGAACAUUUCCUCGGUCAUGUGCUCGUUCUUCUUCCAGUCAGAGGCGAUGAUGUAGUGGCCCUCGCUCAUGAGGCGCCUAGCGAUGUGGGAGGCGAUGAACCCGCCAGCGCCCGUGAUGGAGAUCCGCAGCUUCUCAAACGGCCAGUAUGGCUCCUUCUCCAGCUCCGCGUACGUGUACUCCUUGUUGAGCGCCAUCCUGCACAAGCCAAAGGUCAAGAUUUAGGAUGAAAAGCUACUCAUACAGAAUCAAUUAUGACCUCCUAUGGCUCAUGGGCCAUCAGCACGACCCCCAAUCUUUCUAGGAAAACAAACUUCCAAUGUUCUUCUCGGAACACAGGGGCCAAAGACCCGGUUCCGUUCCCGCUAAAACAAAACAGAAGUAUGAAAAUGACCCACAGCAGCCAUGCUCUUUACAGCGGUUAUAUCAACUAACAUAGUCGACUCUAUUCAUAGGAUUAACCAACAGUCAGUAGCGCCCACUGCUGAACAAGUAGUGUUGCACCUGCACAAGUUCAUACUAGCAACUAAAAACACCCCCUAAUACGUCCUAUGGGUCAACGUUUAUCAAUCUUGCGCAAUGGACAUGAACAAAGAUUCGGAUCUGAUUGGUCUCGGCGAAGGAUUCAACUCCUACAGCAAUAGAAUCCAUACAACCAGGCAAGCAAGCCGGGGUUCCUCUCAAAACCAAGAAUAGGAGGGCGCCGGCCUUCCAGGACACACGAAUCCGACCCGCGGCACUCGGCGCCGACGAGGUCCCCCGGCGACGGCUUCGAGCGAGGCAACCAAUGCCAACGCACGAGCGCGCCACCCUGAGCCAAGCCCCCAAUCCUAGAACCGCUGCAGGGAAAUUUCCCCCAAAAAGAAAGGAAAAGAUGCCAUCUUUACCUGGCAAACGAGGGUGGUAGCCGCGCCGGAGCGAGAUUCGAGAGCGGAGGAAGGAGAUAGGAGCAGCUC
Molecule: long non-coding RNA, 2100 nt
Filed under: Setaria viridis
Lineage: Eukaryota; Viridiplantae; Streptophyta; Magnoliopsida; Poales; Poaceae
Description: long non-coding RNA (SVIR_LNC009809)
Source: RNAcentral